GAUGAACGCUGGCGGCGUGCCUAAUACAUGCAAGUCGAGCGAACAGACGAGGAGCUUGCUCCUCUGACGUUAGUGGCGGACGGGUGAGUAACACGUGGAUAACCUACCUAUAAGACUGGGAUAACUUCGGGAAACCGGAGCUAAUACCGGAUAACAUGUUGAACCGCAUGGUUCAACAGUGAAAGACGGUCUUGCUGUCACUUAUAGAUGGAUCCGCGCCGCAUUAGCUAGUUGGUAAGGUAACGGCUUACCAAGGCAACGAUGCGUAGCCGACCUGAGAGGGUGAUCGGCCAAACUGGAACUGAGACACGGUCCAGACUCCUACGGGAGGAAGCAGUAGGGAAUCUUCCGCAAUGGGCGAAAGCCUGACGGAGCAACGCCGCGUGAGUGAAGAAGGUCUUCGGAUCGUAAAACUCUGUUAUUAGGGAAGAACAAAUGUGUAAGUAACUAUGCACGUCUUGACGGUACCUAAUCAGAAAGCCACAGCUAACUACGUG
RNAcentral lists this ribosomal RNA (497 nucleotides) under uncultured bacterium. RNAcentral describes it as "partial 16S ribosomal RNA". It matches the Rfam family "Bacterial small subunit ribosomal RNA", at positions 28 to 507 of the family's 1533-position model. The record is from RNAcentral.